Quercus robur (English oak) is the source of this 1338-nucleotide long non-coding RNA. RefSeq lists it as uncharacterized. The transcript is spliced from 3 exons. NCBI's taxonomy places the organism in Eukaryota, Viridiplantae, Streptophyta, Magnoliopsida, Fagales, Fagaceae. The record is from RefSeq and is a predicted model, not a curated record.
AAUUUAAAACUGAAAUGAAAUAGGUCAUAUGGUAGUCUACAUGGCAGCCUGUGUGGCAUAAAAAUAAUAUAUUAUUUUUGCUGUUAGCUAUAUCAGUAUUUUUUAUCCAUCAAUUAAUGGUCGUAACUAUUUUGACACAAUACUAAAAUGUUAAGGACCUAAUUGACACAUUUGAGAGGGUAGGAACUAAAUUAAAAUUCAGAGUAAAGAUUAAGAACCAAAUAUGUAAUUUACUCAUGCAUAAUUAUAAAUAGCGCGCGCACACACACACACACAUAUAUAUAUUAACUAAAUAAAAAGAGGCAAUGCCUCUAUAGUGUUUUUACACUGUACAACUAGUGUUUUUGUACUGUACAUCUACAGUGCAAUUUUGGCUUCGUGAGUCCUUUUUUGUCCAUUUGUGGAGGGCUAAAAACUCAAACAACGCUACCUAACUGAAUGCCUUAUCUUCUUCUCCUUCUCUCUACACAUAUUUUGUUUUCUUCUUUCUUUUCCUCCCAAACCACCGAUCUAUAUUGUGAUUCAACUCCUUCACAACCCAGUCUCAGCACCGAUCUCUCUCUACUAAUCCAGAUAAACAAAAAAAAAUUGAAACCCAAGAACAUUUGUAGCCAAUCUGCAUGAGAGAAGAGCCAGAAAACAAAAAUGGAGCUCAACGCCUCAAACGCUGUUUGUGAUCUAGUUGGUGGAUGUGCGAGAGAUAGACAAUUGCAGGUGUUCUUCUUUGCAAUUAUCUCAGUUCAUGAGAUUGAAAGUUUGGAUUUUUACUCAAAUUGAGAGAGGAGCUGUCGAAGUGUCAAACCGCAACCAUGUCAAACCAUCACCCACCUUCAGCCCAACCUUCUACCACUGUCGUAUACCGUCAGAACCACUACCAAUACAGUUGAAUAGUGAGGAAAAGCAGGGCACGAUCGAAGACAUCUACAAACCCACUUAGAGAAGAAGCAGAAAAAGUGGAGAAAUAAUGGAAAUGGUUUUUUCAAUGUUGGCCUCCAUCAAAUGUCUGGGGCUCUUUGCAAGCGAGUGUUCUUAGAGUGGAGGAUUUUGUGUAGAUAAAGCAAAUUUGGGUUGGGUGCACUGGCAAAUCUAUGUACUUUAAAAAAAAAAAAAAAUUUUGCUUUGUUUCUUUGGGUUAUAUAUAUGUUUUGUCCUUGAUAAUUGUUAAAAAUUUUGUUUCUUUUAAUUUAAAGUUGAUAACAAUUAAAAAUUUGGUUGCUUUUGUUUUAAAGGUGUUUAAAUUUGUUGAAGAAGUUAAUGACGUUCAUUGCAGUGGAAUACUUGAUUUAUGUUCAUUUCGGAUUUUCAUUUGUAUGAAGCAAAUUAUGUAGGUUAUGGUUU